Non-coding RNA from Paramuricea clavata, 1776 nucleotides. NCBI's taxonomy places the organism in Eukaryota, Metazoa, Cnidaria, Anthozoa, Malacalcyonacea, Plexauridae. The record is from the annotation of a GenBank genome assembly.
CACCUUAAAUUGAUUUAAAAUUUAAUGACACUUUAAUUAAAGUAAAUUUAAAUAAAGCUAAAACAUCUGCAAUAAAUAAUCUAAUAUGCAUACAUAUAAGUACACACAGAUUUAAAUAAGAAACUUCACCAUACUAAACUAAAUUUACUCUUUUAAAUUAUUCAAUAAUAGGCCUACAAUAAAGUAACAUUUACACGUGGAAUAUGAGUUAAAUAUUUCUCAAACGUUUACAAUUUUAAUAUUUAGCGUUUAAAUAAAGCUUUAAAUAGUUCAAAGAAUAUAAAUGUUUUUCAAUACAUAUAUAUAGCAAGGAACUUCCGUGAGCUUUCGGAGGCUUUAUAACUUUCUGGUCGGCAUUCAAUAGCAAUCGUCCAAUCCAUCGGUAAAAGCGGAGUGUUUGUCUGCAAGAUGACAUUAAGAUCAAUAAAAAAAGUUAGAAUUAUAUUUAUAAAGAAAAGGUUAACAUAUAUUAACAGAACCUAGUAAUUUUAAAAUGGAAUCCCAAACAGAGCUUAUAAUCUUGACAUUUUGCGUUCAUUUUGAUUUGGUUAUGCUAUAUACUACACAUAUAUAGUUUUUUUAGUUUAAAUAACAAAUAGUUCACAUUUCUUGUAUUUAUGUAUAGAUUGCCUGUUAAAGUAGAAUGUUAAAUAACGCUGAGAUCUGCUGAUCAUUAAGCCACAGCAUGAGAUCGUUGCGAAAAAUCCGUUAAUUUGCCUGGGCAGGGCAUUCGGGUUUUUAAACGACAGCUAAAUGCCUUACAUUUUCCGGGUGUAAAUUAAGUGACACAAAGCCUCUGCGGUACGUUUAUUUCAAAAACCUUGUUUUAUGAGAUUGAAACCACCGCAUUACCCACAUAUAACGUUUGCCAAACGAGACUGUUGGCGAGUUUUAUCCUUCUUUCAGAAUUUAAUACAUAAAAUAUUCUCGUUAAAACUAAAAUGUCCAACAUCGCGCACAAUAUAUAUUGAAAGUGCCACAGAAAAUGCUUGCCCACUAAUCACUAUGUUUGUCAAUUUUAACGAUCAAUUGAAUAAUAGUGAAUUAAUAAUGGUCUCUGAGUAGAUCACUUUUAGGAAAGCCGUACAGCUCCUGAAAUUGUAUAACUGCAAAAUUUCAUAAACAUGCAGCACUGCAAAAUGACAACAAGUUGGACGUGAAACAAACAUUGUCCUGUUAAAGGCAUAUUUAAUACGGAGUAUAUACUUUUUGUCCAAUGUUAUAUUAGAACAAUAGAAUAGCAGGUACCAGACUGUAAACAUAUAAAUUCAUAGAUCAUAAUUCAUUCAUUUUCAAAAUCCUCGCAAGCAUGAGUUCCGAACGCGAAUAUAGAUUUGAUCGUAAAAUGCUCAAUAAUUUCGGAAACGUCCCUUGCUAUAUAUACUUAUACGUUGGUAAAACGAGUCAUUAUGAUAUAGAGCUCACCAUAACAACAUUUAUAUUAUUGAUGAUUGUAUUCACAUUCGUUUAGUGUUGAAUUCAUGCAUAUAUUUAACUUCUUUGUCUGACGCCAGGUAGUUCUAUACUUGUACUUCGACUUCCAAAUGUACCAUUCAGGCAUUGCGUGAUUAUUUAAUUUGACUACAAAAUCACGGCUCGACGUUGCUUCAAAGUAUUAAUAAGGAUUAUACUAAGGAUUCGAUGGUAUUGACUUUUGUACGCAUACAAAAAAUACUGAUUGAAACGUUUAUAAGAGUCGACGGCUGGAACGAAUAUAUAUAGUAGUAUAGCUCCAUUAAAUUUAGUGCAUUGUUUAUCAGCGACGAGUUGCCCAUG